UACAGAGGGGGCAAGCGUUAUUCGGAAUUAUUGGGCGUAAAGGGCGCGUAGGCGGCUUCGCAAGUGACGGGUGAAAUCCCUCGGCUUAACCGAGGAACUGCCUGUCAAACUGCGUGGCUUGAGACCAGGAGAGGUGAGUGGAAUUCCCAGUGUAGCGGUGAAAUGCGUAGAUAUUGGGAGGAACACCAGUGGCGAAGGCGGCUCACUGGACUGGUGCUGACGCUGAGGCGCGAAAGCGUGGGGAGCAAACAGG
RNAcentral lists this ribosomal RNA (253 nucleotides) under uncultured bacterium. Its description in RNAcentral is "partial 16S ribosomal RNA". It matches the Rfam family "Bacterial small subunit ribosomal RNA", at positions 524 to 776 of the family's 1533-position model. The record is from RNAcentral.